Molecule: ribosomal RNA, 2900 nt
Filed under: Klebsiella pneumoniae
Lineage: Bacteria; Pseudomonadati; Pseudomonadota; Gammaproteobacteria; Enterobacterales; Enterobacteriaceae
Description: bacterial LSU rRNA
Rfam family: Bacterial large subunit ribosomal RNA
Source: RNAcentral
UUAAGCGACUAAGCGUACACGGUGGAUGCCCUGGCAGUCAGAGGCGAUGAAGGACGUGCUAAUCUGCGAAAAGCGUCGGUAAGGUGAUAUGAACCGUUAUAACCGGCGAUGUCCGAAUGGGGAAACCCAGUGUGAUUCGUCACACUAUCGUUAACUGAAUACAUAGGUUAACGAGGCGAACCGGGGGAACUGAAACAUCUAAGUACCCCGAGGAAAAGAAAUCAACCGAGAUUCCCCCAGUAGCGGCGAGCGAACGGGGAGCAGCCCAGAGUCUGAAUCAGCUUGUGUGUUAGUGGAACGGUCUGGAAAGUCCGACGGUACAGGGUGAUAGUCCCGUACACCAAAAUGCACAGGUUGUGAACUCGAAGAGUAGGGCGGGACACGUGGUAUCCUGUCUGAAUAUGGGGGGACCAUCCUCCAAGGCUAAAUACUCCUGACUGACCGAUAGUGAACCAGUACCGUGAGGGAAAGGCGAAAAGAACCCCGGCGAGGGGAGUGAAAAAGAACCUGAAACCGUGUACGUACAAGCAGUGGGAGCACCUUCGGGUGUGACUGCGUACCUUUUGUAUAAUGGGUCAGCGACUUAUAUUCUGUAGCAAGGUUAACCGUAUAGGGGAGCCGCAGGGAAACCGAGUCUUAACUGGGCGUUAAGUUGCAGGGUAUAGACCCGAAACCCGGUGAUCUAGCCAUGGGCAGGUUGAAGGUUGGGUAACACUAACUGGAGGACCGAACCGACUAAUGUUGAAAAAUUAGCGGAUGACUUGUGGCUGGGGGUGAAAGGCCAAUCAAACCGGGAGAUAGCUGGUUCUCCCCGAAAGCUAUUUAGGUAGCGCCUCGUGAACUCAUCUUCGGGGGUAGAGCACUGUUUCGGCUAGGGGGUCAUCCCGACUUACCAACCCGAUGCAAACUACGAAUACCGAAGAAUGUUAUCACGGGAGACACACGGCGGGUGCUAACGUCCGUCGUGAAGAGGGAAACAACCCAGACCGCCAGCUAAGGUCCCAAAGUCAUGGUUAAGUGGGAAACGAUGUGGGAAGGCACAGACAGCCAGGAUGUUGGCUUAGAAGCAGCCAUCAUUUAAAGAAAGCGUAAUAGCUCACUGGUCGAGUCGGCCUGCGCGGAAGAUGUAACGGGGCUAAACCAUGCACCGAAGCUGCGGCAGCGACACUAUGUGUUGUUGGGUAGGGGAGCGUUCUGUAAGCCUGCGAAGGUGACCUGUGAGGGUUGCUGGAGGUAUCAGAAGUGCGAAUGCUGACAUAAGUAACGAUAAAGCGGGUGAAAAGCCCGCUCGCCGGAAGACCAAGGGUUCCUGUCCAACGUUAAUCGGGGCAGGGUGAGUCGACCCCUAAGGCGAGGCCGAAAGGCGUAGUCGAUGGGAAACAGGUUAAUAUUCCUGUACUUGGUGUUACUGCGAAGGGGGGACGGAGAAGGCUAUGUUAGCCGGGCGACGGUUGUCCCGGUUUAAGCAUGUAGGCUGAUUAUCCAGGCAAAUCCGGAUAAUCAAGGCUGAGGUGUGAUGACGAGGCACUACGGUGCUGAAGUAACAAAUGCCCUGCUUCCAGGAAAAGCCUCUAAGCAUCAGGUAACAUUAAAUCGUACCCCAAACCGACACAGGUGGUCAGGUAGAGAAUACCAAGGCGCUUGAGAGAACUCGGGUGAAGGAACUAGGCAAAAUGGUGCCGUAACUUCGGGAGAAGGCACGCUGGUGUGUAGGUGAAGUCCCUGCGGAUGGAGCUGAGACCAGUCGAAGAUACCAGCUGGCUGCAACUGUUUAUUAAAAACACAGCACUGUGCAAACACGAAAGUGGACGUAUACGGUGUGACGCCUGCCCGGUGCCGGAAGGUUAAUUGAUGGGGUUAUCCGUAAGGAGAAGCUCUUGAUCGAAGCCCCGGUAAACGGCGGCCGUAACUAUAACGGUCCUAAGGUAGCGAAAUUCCUUGUCGGGUAAGUUCCGACCUGCACGAAUGGCGUAAUGAUGGCCAGGCUGUCUCCACCCGAGACUCAGUGAAAUUGAACUCGCUGUGAAGAUGCAGUGUACCCGCGGCAAGACGGAAAGACCCCGUGAACCUUUACUAUAGCUUGACACUGAACAUUGAGCCUUGAUGUGUAGGAUAGGUGGGAGGCUUUGAAGCGUGGACGCCAGUCUGCGUGGAGCCAACCUUGAAAUACCACCCUUUAAUGUUUGAUGUUCUAACGUUGGCCCCUGACCGGGGUUGCGGACAGUGUCUGGUGGGUAGUUUGACUGGGGCGGUCUCCUCCCAAAGCGUAACGGAGGAGCACGAAGGUUAGCUAAUCCUGGUCGGACAUCAGGAGGUUAGUGCAAUGGCAUAAGCUAGCUUGACUGCGAGCGUGACGGCGCGAGCAGGUGCGAAAGCAGGUCAUAGUGAUCCGGUGGUUCUGAAUGGAAGGGCCAUCGCUCAACGGAUAAAAGGUACUCCGGGGAUAACAGGCUGAUACCGCCCAAGAGUUCAUAUCGACGGCGGUGUUUGGCACCUCGAUGUCGGCUCAUCACAUCCUGGGGCUGAAGUAGGUCCCAAGGGUAUGGCUGUUCGCCAUUUAAAGUGGUACGCGAGCUGGGUUUAGAACGUCGUGAGACAGUUCGGUCCCUAUCUGCCGUGGACGCUGGAGAAUUGAGGGGGGCUGCUCCUAGUACGAGAGGACCGGAGUGGACGCAUCACUGGUGUUCGGGUUGUCAUGCCAAUGGCACUGCCCGGUAGCUAAAUGCGGAAGAGAUAAGUGCUGAAAGCAUCUAAGCACGAAACUUGCCCCGAGAUGAGUUCUCCCUGAGACUUUAAGUCUCCUGAAGGAACGUUAAAGACGAUGACGUUGAUAGGCCGGGUGUGUAAGCGCAGCGAUGCGUUGAGCUAACCGGUACUAAUGAACCGUGAGGCUUAACCUU